RNAcentral lists this transfer RNA (90 nucleotides) under Candidatus Cloacimonadota bacterium. RNAcentral describes it as "Candidatus Cloacimonetes bacterium (wastewater metagenome) tRNA-Ser". It matches the Rfam family "tRNA". From Rfam's summary of the family: Transfer RNA (tRNA) molecules are approximately 80 nucleotides in length. Their secondary structure includes four short double-helical elements and three loops (D, anti-codon, and T loops). Lineage: Bacteria; Pseudomonadati; Candidatus Cloacimonadota. The record is from RNAcentral.
GGAGAGGUGUCCGAGUGGUUUAAGGAGCACGCUUGGAAAGCGUGUGUAGGUGAAAGCUUACCCCGGGUUCGAAUCCCGGUCUCUCCGCCA